GAUGAACGCUGGCGGCGUGCUUAACACAUGCAAGUCGAACGAUGAAGCCCAGCUUGCUGGGUGGAUUAGUGGCGAACGGGUGAGUAACACGUGAGUAACCUGCCCUUAACUCUGGGAUAAGCCUGGGAAACUGGGUCUAAUACCGGAUAGGAGCGUCCACCGCAUGGUGGGUGUUGGAAAGAUUUAUCGGUUUUGGAUGGACUCGCGGCCUAUCAGCUUGUUGGUGAGGUAAUGGCUCACCAAGGCGACGACGGGUAGCCGGCCUGAGAGGGUGACCGGCCACACUGGGACUAAGACACGGCCCAGACUCCUACGGGAGGCAGCAGUGGGGAAUAUUGCACAAUGGGCGCAAGCCUGAUGCAGCGACGCCGCGUGAGGGAUGACGGCCUUCGGGUUGUAAACCUCUUUCAGUAGGGAAGAAGCGAAAGUAACGGUACCUGCAGAAGAAGCACCGGCUAACUACGUG
This 466-nucleotide ribosomal RNA is filed under the name uncultured bacterium. RNAcentral's name for it is "partial 16S ribosomal RNA". It matches the Rfam family "Bacterial small subunit ribosomal RNA", at positions 28 to 507 of the family's 1533-position model. The record is from RNAcentral.